CCUACGGGUGGCAGCAGUGGGGAAUAUUGGACAAUGGGCGAAAGCCUGAUCCAGCCAUGCCGCGUGUGUGAAGAAGGCCUUCGGGUUGUAAAGCACUUUCAGUGGGGAAGAAAGCCUUGGGGCUAAUACCCUCGAGGAAGGACAUCACCCACAGAAGAAGCACCGGCUAACUCCGUGCCAGCAGCCGCGGUAAUACGGAGGGUGCGAGCGUUAAUCGGAAUUACUGGGCGGAAAGCGCGCGUAGGCGGUCUGAUAAGCCGGUUGUGAAAGCCCCGGGCUCAACCUGGGAACGGCAUCCGGAACUGUCAGGCUAGAGUGCAGGAGAGGAAGGUAGAAUUCCCGGUGUAGCAGUGAAAUGCGUAGAGAUCGGGAGGAAUACCAGUGGCGAAGGCGGCCUUCUGGACUGACACUGACGCUGAGGUGCGAAAGCGUGGGUAGCAAACAGGAUUAGAUACCCUAGUAGUC
This 465-nucleotide ribosomal RNA is filed under the name Vreelandella stevensii. Its description in RNAcentral is "partial 16S ribosomal RNA". It matches the Rfam family "Bacterial small subunit ribosomal RNA", at positions 338 to 795 of the family's 1533-position model. The record is from RNAcentral. Lineage: Bacteria; Pseudomonadati; Pseudomonadota; Gammaproteobacteria; Oceanospirillales; Halomonadaceae.